UCUUCACUCACCACCGAUCUUAUGAAAGCCUUAAUAGGAAGUGGGAGGCAGGAGAUGUGUGGGAGAUCACGGUGAUGACUCCAUGAAAUUCAAGCUCAACAGACCGGAAUGCAGUGCUUUCUCUCUUUCAUGAGAUUGCUUUGCGUGUCGACCACCCCGCUGACCUGAGUGAUCUCUUGCACUUCUUCCUCCUCUUUUCUAUGCUUUAUUUUUCGCAUUUUCUUUCAUUCUUUUUUUUUUUUUCAUUUUGAAAUGGGGAAAGAGGUUUUGACAAUGAGGAUAUAAAAGCUCCCUCUUCUGAAAUUGUAGUUGAGGAAUGUUGCUGGCAGAAUCGAACCAUAAAAACCUUUUGCCAUCACUGAGUUAUCUCUUUUC
Arachis ipaensis is the source of this 375-nucleotide non-coding RNA. The record is from RefSeq and is a predicted model, not a curated record. NCBI's taxonomy places the organism in Eukaryota, Viridiplantae, Streptophyta, Magnoliopsida, Fabales, Fabaceae.